GACGAACGCUGGCGGCGUGCCUAAUACAUGCAAGUUGAGCGCUGAAGGUUGGUACUUGUACCGACUGGAUGAGCAGCGAACGGGUGAGUAACGCGUGGGGAAUCUGCCUUUGAGCGGGGGACAACAUUUGGAAACGAAUGCUAAUACCGCAUAAAAACUUUAAACACAAGUUUUAAGUUUGAAAGAUGCAAUUGCAUCACUCAAAGAUGAUCCCGCGUUGUAUUAGCUAGUUGGUGAGGUAAAGGCUCACCAAGGCGAUGAUACAUAGCCGACCUGAGAGGGUGAUCGGCCACAUUGGGACUGAGACACGGCCCAAACUCCUACGGGAGGCAGCAGUAGGGAAUCUUCGGCAAUGGACGAAAGUCUGACCGAGCAGCGCCGCGUGAGUGAAGAAGGGUUUCGGAUCGUAAAACUCUGUUGGUAGAGAAGAACGUUGGUGAGAGUGGAAAGCUCAUCAAGUGACGGUAACUACCCAGAAAGGGACGGCUAACUACGUG
Molecule: ribosomal RNA, 497 nt
Filed under: uncultured bacterium
Lineage: Bacteria
Description: partial 16S ribosomal RNA
Rfam family: Bacterial small subunit ribosomal RNA
Source: RNAcentral